CGCACGGCGGAUGCCUUGGCGGCAGGAGGCGAUGAAGGACGUGGAAAGCUGCGAUAAGCUACGGGGAGCUGCUACACAAGCGUUGAUCCGUAGAUCUCCGAAUGGGGAAACCCAAUCAGGAAAAAACCUGAUUACCCUUGGCUGAAUACAUAGGCCAUGAGGAGCGAACUCGGGGAACUGAAACAUCUCAGUACCCGAUGGAAGAGAAAGAAAUCUCGAUGCCCUUAGUAGCGGCGAGCGAAACGGGCUCAGCCCAAACCAUACAGAUGUAAGAUUGCAGUCGUUGUCUGUGUGGGGUUGUGGGUUGUUACAGGGAAGUCUGCAUACUUCCCAAAUGUCUCGAAGAAGGAAAUAAAACCUUCUGGAAAGUUGGACCAUAGAGCGUAAAAGUCGCGUAUAUGCAACUCCUUCGAGCAUUGUUAACUACACCCCGAGUAACUCCGGGACACGUGGAACCCUGGAGGAAUCUAGCGAGGACCAUCUCGCAAGGCUAAAUACUACCUGCCGA
Molecule: ribosomal RNA, 508 nt
Filed under: uncultured bacterium
Lineage: Bacteria
Description: bacterial LSU rRNA
Rfam family: Bacterial large subunit ribosomal RNA
Source: RNAcentral